Molecule: ribosomal RNA, 253 nt
Filed under: uncultured bacterium
Lineage: Bacteria
Description: partial 16S ribosomal RNA
Rfam family: Bacterial small subunit ribosomal RNA
Source: RNAcentral
UACAGAGGGGGCAAGCGUUGUUCGGAAUUACUGGGCGUAAAGGGCGCGUAGGCGGCCUGUUAAGUCGAACGUGAAAUCCCUGGGCUCAACCCAGGAACUGCGUCCGAUACUGGCAGGCUUGAAUUCGGGAGAGGGAUGCGGAAUUCCAGGUGUAGCGGUGAAAUGCGUAGAUAUCUGGAGGAACACCGGUGGCGAAGGCGGCAUCCUGGACCGAUAUUGACGCUGAGGCGCGAAAGCCAGGGAAGCAAACGGG